Molecule: long non-coding RNA, 564 nt
Organism: Microplitis mediator
Lineage: Eukaryota; Metazoa; Arthropoda; Insecta; Hymenoptera; Braconidae
Exons: 3
Source: RefSeq, a predicted model, not a curated record
GUUAUCACAAUACACUAAAUAAAACUACACUACAUAUACAGUCUAAACUAGUCGGGUGUCCAAAGUCGACUCUGAACUUGAUGCGACGUUUGUGGAGCCACGUCAUAGUCAGUCCUCGUCGGUCUACAAUGUAGUGUAUUAUCAUCGGUAUCGUGGAAGGGACGAAUUGUCAGGAAUAAAAGCUGCAGGUGCUUUUCAAGACGGUUAAGAGAAAAUAAAUGCUAAGUAUCUUCUCUCGAUCUACCACAUCACGAGCCACUGCGCUGGUAAUUUAAAUUCAAUUAAAAAGAAGAGAUAAAUAAAAAUAAAAAUAAAAUAAAAAGAAUAAUAAAAUGAAAAUUAAAUGGAAAUAAUCUGGACAGUUUAACAGAUGGAAAAUUUAACGACGGCUGCACAAUUAACUUUUAUAAUAAUAUGAGUAGGAUAAAAUAAUAAAGUGUCCAUUGUUUUUAAAAUACAAUACAGCUGUAAAUUUUAAUUGUAACAAUGUAAUGUGUGUAAUUAAAAUUUUGAAUAAUCAAAUACUCAUUUAAACGUCAAAUGCAUUUUUUAAUGCAUAUUCAC